RNAcentral lists this ribosomal RNA (581 nucleotides) under uncultured bacterium. RNAcentral's name for it is "partial 16S ribosomal RNA". It matches the Rfam family "Bacterial small subunit ribosomal RNA", at positions 355 to 926 of the family's 1533-position model. The record is from RNAcentral.
UGGGGAAUAUUGCACAAUGGGCGCAAGCCUGAUGCAGCCAUGCCGCGUGUGUGAAGAAGGCCUUCGGGUUGUAAAGCACUUUCAGCGAGGAGGAAGGUGGUGAACUUAAUACGUUCAUCAAUUGACGUUACUCGCAGAAGAAGCACCGGCUAACUCCGUGCCAGCAGCCACGGUAAUACGGAGGGUGCAAGCGUUAAUCGGAAUUACUGGGCGUAAAGCGCACGCAGGCGGUUUGUUAAGUCAGAUGUGAAAUCCCCGGGCUCAACCUGGGAACUGCAUUUGAAACUGGCAAGCUAGAGUCUCGUAGAGGGGGGUAGAAUUCCAGGUGUAGCGGUGAAAUGCGUAGAGAUCUGGAGGAAUACCGGUGGCGAAGGCGGCCCCCUGGACGAAGACUGACGCUCAGGUGCGAAAGCGUGGGGCAGCAAACAGGAUUAGAUACCCUGGUAGUCCAGCGCUGUAAACGAUGUCGAUUUGGAGGUUGUGCCCUUGAGGCGUGGCUUCCGGAGCUAACGCGUUAAAUCGACCGCCUGGGGAGUACGGCCGCAAGGUUAAAACUCAAAUGAAUUGACGGGGUCAUAGCU